GCAAAUGUUCGAACACAGGUCGUAUAACUUGCUUAUUCUUACAUCUUUCUUCCUUUAAGAGAUUGUGAUUCUAUUUGUGUUGAAUAUUUUAUUUUAUUAACAAAAAUUGAAUUAAAAAAGGAUUAAUUAGAUAUAUAUCUCUUUCGCCCUCGAGUGUUCGAAAACAAGUAUUAUAUAUUGUUUGUUCUAACAUUUGUCUUCCUCCUAAAACUAAU
Molecule: long non-coding RNA, 215 nt
Filed under: Lathyrus oleraceus (garden pea)
Lineage: Eukaryota; Viridiplantae; Streptophyta; Magnoliopsida; Fabales; Fabaceae
Description: Pisum sativum (pea) long non-coding RNA (PSAT_LNC023232)
Source: RNAcentral